GCACCACAUCUUUCCCAUUCCAUACUGUGCAGUGUGGGCCUGGGGACACGUGGUGCUUACAGAAAGGCAGAGUAAAUCCAGACAGGUGAUUUCUUGUUCGUUAGGUACCAGUCUCUACACCUCUGCAACAGUU
Small nucleolar RNA from Colius striatus (speckled mousebird), 133 nucleotides. It matches the Rfam family "Small nucleolar RNA SNORA55". Rfam says of the family: ACA55 is a member of the H/ACA class of snoRNA that guide the sites of modification of uridines to pseudouridines. The record is from Rfam. NCBI's taxonomy places the organism in Eukaryota, Metazoa, Chordata, Aves, Coliiformes, Coliidae.